RNAcentral lists this ribosomal RNA (426 nucleotides) under uncultured bacterium. RNAcentral's name for it is "partial 16S ribosomal RNA". It matches the Rfam family "Bacterial small subunit ribosomal RNA", at positions 354 to 796 of the family's 1533-position model. The record is from RNAcentral.
GUGGGGAAUUUUGGACAAUGGGGGCAACCCUGAUGGAGCAACACCGCGUGCUGGAUGAAGGCCUUCGGGUCGUAAACAGCUUUUGUAUACGAAGAAUAUGACGGUAAUAUACGAAUAAGGGUCGGCUAACUACGUGCCAGCAGCCGCGGUCAUACGUAGGACCCAAGCGUUAUCCGGAGUGACUGGGCGUAAAGAGUUGCGUAGGCGGCUUAUUAAGCGAGUAGUGAAAUCUGGUGGCUCAACCAUCAACACAUUGCUCGAACUGAUAGGCUUGAGAAUGGUAGAGGUAGUUGGAAUUUCUUGUGUAGGAGUGAAAUCCGUAGAUAUAAGAAGGAACACCAAUGGCGUAGGCAGACUACUGGACCAUUUCUGACGCUGAGGCACGAAAGCGUGGGGAGCGAACCGGAUUAGAUACCCUUGUAGUCC